Long non-coding RNA from Oreochromis niloticus (Nile tilapia), 326 nucleotides. RefSeq lists it as uncharacterized. The record is from RefSeq and is a predicted model, not a curated record. The transcript is spliced from 2 exons. NCBI's taxonomy places the organism in Eukaryota, Metazoa, Chordata, Actinopteri, Cichliformes, Cichlidae.
GAAAGGAGCUGCUAGUUCUAGUUCUAAUUUCUUUUCAUUAUCUAUCAUCAGUUUCACUGCAGGGGCCAUGGUGUUAUAUCAACUGCCAGACUCUUCUUCUUUCUGGCUGUUGGAGACUGAGGCUGUACCCUACCGCUCGCCCCAUGGCACCUGGUAUAGGCUCGAGCUCACACGCAACCCUGAAAUGGAUAAACAGAAGAAGAAACACUGCUGGUCUGGUCACUGAUGCCAGAUUUGAUUGAUCGAAAGUAACCAAGUCUAAAUAUGACACUUAUUUCUUAAUAUUUUGUUAGAUUUUGGAGGCUGAUUAAAAGCAAAAAUGAAAA